RNAcentral lists this ribosomal RNA (468 nucleotides) under uncultured bacterium. Its description in RNAcentral is "partial 16S ribosomal RNA". It matches the Rfam family "Bacterial small subunit ribosomal RNA", at positions 28 to 507 of the family's 1533-position model. The record is from RNAcentral.
GGCGAACGCUGGCGGCGUGCUUAACACAUGCAAGUCGAACGGAAAGGCCCUGCUUUUGCGGGGUGCUCGAGUGGCGAACGGGUGAGUAACACGUGAGUAACCUGCCCUUGACUUUGGGAUAACUUCAGGAAACUGGGGCUAAUACCGGAUAGGAGCUCCUGCUGCAUGGUGGGGGUUGGAAAGUUUCGGCGGUUGGGGAUGGACUCGCGGCUUAUCAGCUUGUUGGUGGGGUAGUGGCUUACCAAGGCUUUGACGGGUAGCCGGCCUGAGAGGGUGACCGGCCACAUUGGGACUGAGAUACGGCCCAGACUCCUACGGGAGGCAGCAGUGGGGAAUAUUGCACAAUGGGCGGAAGCCUGAUGCAGCAACGCCGCGUGCGGGAUGACGGCCUUCGGGUUGUAAACCGCUUUCGCCUGUGACGAAGCGUGAGUGACGGUAAUGGGUAAAGAAGCACCGGCUAACUACGUG